This 440-nucleotide ribosomal RNA is filed under the name uncultured bacterium. RNAcentral's name for it is "partial 16S ribosomal RNA". It matches the Rfam family "Bacterial small subunit ribosomal RNA", at positions 338 to 795 of the family's 1533-position model. The record is from RNAcentral.
CCUACGGGAGGCAGCAGUAGGGAAUAUUGCUCAAUGGGGGAAACCCUGAAGCAGCAACGCCGCGUGGAGGAUGAAGGUUUUCGGAUUGUAAACUCCUUUUGUUAGAGAAGAUAAUGACGGUAUCUAACGAAUAAGCACUGGCUAACUCCGUGCCAGCAGCCGCGGUAAUACGGAGGGUGCAAGCGUUACUCGGAAUCACUGGGCGUAAAGAGCGCGUAGGCGGGAUAGCAAGUCAGAUGUGAAAUCCUAUGGCUUAACCAUAGAACUGCAUUUGAAACUGUUAUUCUAGAGUAUGGGAGAGGUAGGUGGAAUUCUUGGUGUAGGGGUAAAAUCCGUAGAGAUCAAGAGGAAUACUCAUUGCGAAGGCGGCCAACUGGGCUUUAACUGACGCUGAGGCUCGAAAGUGUGGGGAGCAAACAGGAUUAGAUACCCGGGUAGUC